RNAcentral lists this ribosomal RNA (494 nucleotides) under uncultured bacterium. RNAcentral describes it as "partial 16S ribosomal RNA". It matches the Rfam family "Bacterial small subunit ribosomal RNA", at positions 28 to 507 of the family's 1533-position model. The record is from RNAcentral.
GACGAACGCUGGCGGCGUGCUUAACACAUGCAAGUCGAACGGUGAAGCGCCUUCCUUUUUGGUGGGUGUGGAUGAGUGGCGAACGGGUGAGUAACACGUGAGUAACCUGCCCCCUUCUUCUGGAUAACCGCAUGAAAGUGUGGCUAAUACGGGAUAUUCUGGGUCUGUCGCAUGAUGGGUCUGGGAAAGAUAUUGUUUCGGUGGGGGAUGGGCUCGCGGCAUAUCAGCUUGUUGGUGGGGUGAUGGCCUACCAAGGCGGUGACGGGUAGCCGGCCUGAGAGGGUGGACGGUCACACUGGGACUGAGACACGGCCCAGACUCCUACGGGAGGCAGAAGUGGGGAAUAUUGCACAAUGGGCGCAAGCCUGAUGCAGCGACGCCGCGUGAGGGAUGGAGGCCUUCGGGUUGUGAACCUCUUUCGCCAGUGAAGCAGGCCUGCCUCGUUUGUGGGUGGGUUGACGGUAGCUGGAUAAGAAGCGCCGGCUAACUACGUG